RNAcentral lists this ribosomal RNA (253 nucleotides) under uncultured bacterium. Its description in RNAcentral is "partial 16S ribosomal RNA". It matches the Rfam family "Bacterial small subunit ribosomal RNA", at positions 524 to 776 of the family's 1533-position model. The record is from RNAcentral.
UACAGAGGUCUCAAGCGUUAAUCGGAAUUACUGGACUUAAAGGGUCCGCAGGCGGACCAGCAAGUACCUUGUGAAAUCUCAGGUCUCAACCCUGAGUCUGCUAGGUAGACUGCUGGUCUUGAGUGCAAAAGGGGUCGCUGGAACUCUAGGUGGAGCGGUGAAAUGCGUAGAUAUCUAGAGGAACGCCAAAGGUGAAGACAGGCGACUGGUUUGCAACUGACGCUCAUGGACGAAAGCGUGGGGAUCAAACGGG